Long non-coding RNA from Coffea arabica (coffee), 1042 nucleotides. RefSeq lists it as uncharacterized. Lineage: Eukaryota; Viridiplantae; Streptophyta; Magnoliopsida; Gentianales; Rubiaceae. The record is from RefSeq and is a predicted model, not a curated record.
GUCCAGCAUUAAAGGGCAAGGUUUUCAUUGGAAAUGUUCGUUUUUCUCUCUCCUAUACAUUUUCCCCAAUUUUUCCAAAUCCCUAAUAUUCUACAAUAUUUUUUGCAAAUUUCUGCCCAAAAUCUUUUAGCUGUCGAGGAAGAAAAGGGGGACGUCGGCAGGGGAACGAAGGAAAAGACUAAAGUUUCAUUUGGGGGCUGGUGAUUGAGGAAGUGAAACCAGAAACAGAGAAAGGUCUUGGCCUAGAGGGGACACAAAGAAAAUACAGAGCAACAGCCGCUCAUCGGCCAUCGCAGCGCGCAAUCUCCAUAGCUGCCGUCACUCUGCUCUCAUCCAAUUUCCGCCGCCUCCAAGUUCCGCCACGGCACCUCCAUUUCGUGCGCCGCCUAGCUGCCUGACGCAUCUCCCCUUCCCGCACGGCCUUUCUCUCUCACUGUCGCUCCUCGAUUUCAUGUUGCCACCCACCACUGGCGCCCAGCUCCAGCGCGGCUACCAUGGCAGCUACAGCCGCCUGAUCAUUCGCACCUUCCUUCGACCAUCACCAUCACCUGCAGACUUCGCCAAGCAAACGCUGCAAAGGCUUUCAUCAAAGGAUUAUAGAAUAUUUCAUCAAGUUGAUUAACAAGAAACAUGGAAAGAACAUCAGCAACCACAAUAGACCACUUGGAAAACUGAGGGAAGCUGAACGUGCCAAAAGAGCUUUAAGCAGCCAGCAGCAAGUUAGGACUCAUGCUUGAUUUGACGAGUUGAACAAUGACCUCUUUAGCAAAAACAUGGGACUUGUCAAGAAGGCUAUGGGGGAUGCUGGUUUGGAGAACCACCAGAUGCAUGAAAUUGUUCCUGUUAGUGGGGCUACCAGGAUCCCAAAAGUCCAAUAACUUCUCAAGGACUACUUUGAUGGAAAGGAACCCAACAAGAGUGUAAAACCAGAUGAAGCAGUGGCUUAUGGGGGUGGUGUUCAAGGAGGUAUUCUAAGCCGGAAAGGUGGUGAUGAAAGCAAAGAUAAAUGCUAUUCAUACUAGCUUUUGGAAGAUAUCUAUGG